UCUUUUAAAGAUUUCAGAAAAUUUAGUUCUCCUGUUAAAAUUUUAAAGACAGCCUAAUUCUCAAAAUAAGAUGAAUAUAUCCUUGCUUUCUAGCAAAGCAGACAAAUCUUCAACACACUUAUGCAAUAGGUUAUCAUAAGAAUAUAGAUUGGCCAUUGAUUUAUAUCUUAAUUGUACUUCUUGGUAUCUUUUUCUGUUAGUUGAAAGACUAUAAUAGAAUAAGACAAGAAAAAUAGAACUCAGAGGAAAUGUCAGAUAUGAAUCUGUGUUUCAGAGCCUUUAACACUGGAGUAUUUGGUAAAAUAAAAAGUUGUAAAAUCAGUCACAAAUAAUUUUCCUUUUAACACUUUAGCAAAGAUGGGUAAAAUAGAAUAAAAAUACAAAGCAGUUGAGUUAAACUUGCUUUAAAAGAUCUUGGUUUUCUCAAUAGGAGAUUUGGCCAUUUGUUGGAAAAGAGGUAAAUGUGUAUGAGAUUUGGAAAACAUAGAGUGUUCAGAGUAAUCACACUAGGGAAUUUAUUAAGAAGCCAGAAAAGGGUAACAUGAUAACAUAG
This 553-nucleotide long non-coding RNA is filed under the name Bos taurus (domestic cattle). Its description in RNAcentral is "long non-coding RNA NONBTAT016540". Lineage: Eukaryota; Metazoa; Chordata; Mammalia; Artiodactyla; Bovidae. The record is from RNAcentral.